GCGAUUCUCCUGCCUCAGCCUCCCAAGUAGCUGGGAUUACUGGUGUGUGCCACUACCCCUGGCUAAUUUUUGUAUUUUUAGUAGAGACAGGGUUUCACCAUGUUGUAGUCUUGAACUCCUGGCCUCAGGUGAUCCACCCGCCUCGGCCUCCCAAAGUGCUGGGAUUACAGGCGUGAGCCACCGCACCUGGCCCCCGAACUCCUUUUUAGAGUUGGCUUUCCCACACCACUCCUGGUGCUAACUGUAUUAGAUCAGGUUCCCCAGGAACCCACACGACGACUGAGAACCAAAACCUGAGGACUGAAGGAAGCAGGAUUGGACAAAAGGCCAUGUGGGGUGCAGAGUUUCCGCUGGUCAAGAAUCUGAGGCUGUGUGUCUGGCUCAGGGGCUCUCAGGAGACAGUCAUCAAGCUACUGGCUUAGAAGCACCUCAAAACUCUGCUGUGGCUGGAGGGAACCAUUUCCAGGCUCACUCAUGUGACUGUCGGCAGGCCUCAGAAGACCCACUGCAAGCCCACUCACUGGGUGCUGGCAGGCUUGCGAUCCAUGGCACGACUUCCGUAGGCUGCCUAAGUAACCUCGUGACAUGGCGGCUGGUGAAUGGAGAGCAAGAGACCACACCAAGUCUGUUUGUAUAAUAACUUAAUCUUGGAAGUGACAUCUCAUCAUUUCUGCCAUAUUGUAUUUGUUUGAAGUCACUCAGUUGGCCCGGCGGGGUGGCUCACAUCUGUAAUCCCAACCUCACUUUGGGAGGCCGAGGCGGGUGGAUCACCUGAGGUCAGGAGUUCAAGACCAGCCUGGCCAACAUGGCGAAACCCG
Molecule: long non-coding RNA, 818 nt
Filed under: Homo sapiens (human)
Lineage: Eukaryota; Metazoa; Chordata; Mammalia; Primates; Hominidae
Description: HSALNT0242140
Source: RNAcentral